RNAcentral lists this ribosomal RNA (1705 nucleotides) under Trichotokara nothriae. RNAcentral's name for it is "bacterial SSU rRNA". It matches the Rfam family "Eukaryotic small subunit ribosomal RNA". The record is from RNAcentral. Lineage: Eukaryota; Apicomplexa; Conoidasida; Eugregarinorida; Lecudinidae.
UUGCGCUACCUGGUUGAUCCUGCCAGUAGUUAUAUGCUAACUUCUGAGACUAAGCCAUGCAUAUUCUUGUAUGGGUUUUUAACUGAAACAGUGGACGGCUCAUUAAAAAGGUAUUUAGCCCUUGCUUUCACUCGUAAUAGCGGAUUUGCUUGGGAAAUCUGAGCCUAAUACGUGUGGUUGUUCUAAGAAAAGCAAUAGCUUUUUGUUUUGAGGUGAUGCUUCAAAAAUUGAAAGAUAGACGCCUUGACUUUAGUAGUGUUUCUACAGUCUGAAAGGUGGAAUUCCUACCUAUCAGCGGGGCGCUGUGGUAGUUUCACAGCGGUGCUUCAACGGGUAACGGAGAAUUAGGGUUUGAUUCCGGAGAGGGAGCCUGAGAAAUGGCUGCUACAUCCACGGAUAGCAGCAGGCGCGCAACUUAUCCAAUCUUGUAAAAGGGAGGUAGUUAGGAGGAGUAGUGGGAGCAGCUUUUUAGCCGUUCACUGCAAUGGAGAGUCAGUGUUAAGGGUUCUGAGAAACAACUGGAGGGCAAGCCUGGUGCCAGCAGCCGCGGUAAUUCCAGCUUCAUUGGUGUAUAUUAACGUUGCUGCGCUUAAAAGGUUCGUAGUUUAUUGGCAUAGCGUUGUUAUUUGCUUCUUUGAAGUAGAUAUUGCGCCUUAUGAGAUUUGUUCUUUAGAGCCGUGAUUUAUUAAUGUUGCUUCAAAAUAGCUUUAGUUGUUGUUCGUCGCACGGUAUUGCUMUUCAUUCGACCUUGCGCUUUUGUUUUUUUAAAUUUAAGUUGUGGGAGUUCUUCUAAUGAUUAUGAGGGUUAAGGGAUGGAACCUGAACGUGGGUGUUAGAGGUGAAAUUCUUGUACCACCUAUUGUCGUACUGCUGCGGAAGCGUCUUCCAUCAAUAUGCUCGUUGAUCAAGAUUGAAAGUUGAGGGAUUGAAGACGAUCAGAUACCGUCGUAGUCUUUACUGUAAACUGUGCCGACUGCCAUUUGGUCUUUAUGGGAAGUACCACUCCGGCAAAAGAAAUUUAAGUUUUUUGGCUGUGGGGGGAGUAUGGUUGCAAGAGUGAAACUUAAAGAAAUUGACGGAAGGGCACCACAAGGAGUGGAGUUUGCGGCUUAAUUUGACUCAACGCGGGUAACCUUACCAGGUCACGCAAUAGGAAGGAUUGACAAGUUGGCAGACUUUUCUUGAUUCUAGAAAUGGUGGUGCAUGGCCGUUCUUAGUUGGUGGAUUACUCUGUCUGGUUUAUUCCGAUAACGAACGAGAUCGCUUUGGUGCCGAAGGGACUUUCACAUUUUUGUGGGAGAUCCAAGUGUAAAGACUCUGCAAUAAAUUGUAGGGAAGUAGCGGCAAUAACAGGUCUGUGAUGCCCUUAGAUGUCCUGGGCGGCCCGCGCACUACAAUGCGAAUAUCCGAAGGUUAUUGUUGUGAAAUCAAUGUCGGUCUCCUCUUAAUUGUUUGCAUGAUGGGAUAGACGAACGCAUUUUUGUCUUGAACGAGGAAUUCCUAGUAGCCCUGCUUCACAAGAGGGGGGCGAAUGCGUCCCUGCCCUUUGUACACACCGCCCGUCGCUCCUACCGAUGAACGUUUUGGCAAAAGCAGCUAGAUCUGCUAGUUGUGAUGACAAGCGACCCUGGCAGUUUGAGCCUUCACGCUUAGAGGAAGGAGAAGUCGUAACAAGGUUUCUGUAGGUGAACCUGCAGAAGGAUCA